UUUUUAUUUUUUUAAAAUUUGCCCUCAUCCUGGAUGGAAAUUCCGUGUAGAACACAACCUAUACGGAAUUUAGUCUAGAGUUACCUAGGCAAAAUAAAAAAUAAAAAACCAAAAUCUUCGAUGUGGGGGAACGGAGAUCGAUUCUAUUGGAGGAGGAAGGAGAGAGGAAAUUGCAAAGGGAUCCUGGUGGUGUUCGCUUGGUUAUCGAGCGAGGAGAGGAAUUUGAAGCUUUACGUUGAUCUCUAUGGAUCUCUUGGAUGGAAUUCUCUCGUUUGCCACGUCGGAUUUCUUACUCUGAGUUUGGCGCGAUAGACUUUGGCCUGAUCGGUGGACUGCAGUCACUGCGGAUGGUAAACAAAGUGCAUAGUUUGAGCACACACUUUUGGUGUGAAUUAAGAUGUCGGGAUGACAAUGAUCUCUUGGAGAAUUAAUGACAAUAUAUAAUUUUAAAGAAGACAAGAAAGAAAAGAUGAACAUAUAGAAAAAUAGAUCAAUUUUUAUGUUGUAUUAUUUUGUAACAUUGGCUUGUAUAAUCAAU
Molecule: long non-coding RNA, 538 nt
Organism: Asparagus officinalis (garden asparagus)
Lineage: Eukaryota; Viridiplantae; Streptophyta; Magnoliopsida; Asparagales; Asparagaceae
Exons: 3
Source: RefSeq, a predicted model, not a curated record